Dermacentor albipictus is the source of this 655-nucleotide non-coding RNA. The record is from RefSeq and is a predicted model, not a curated record. Lineage: Eukaryota; Metazoa; Arthropoda; Arachnida; Ixodida; Ixodidae.
CAGCGGAUGGAUUUAUUUUUGGCGUUUUUGUGAGCGCGCGCAACGCCGCCCGGCCCACGCGAGUCGGAAGGCGUGACGUCACGAAACCCGCGUCGGAUAGCCAGCCGGCCUGCCGCGGUCAUUCAAGGCGCGCCGCCGGCGUCAUCGCGAGCAUGGAUACGAGUUCAGGCGCCUCUACCAGCGAUGAGUGUAUCUCUGAAGACGAGGACCGUUCCAGCUUGGCAAAACAUAUAAUCGCUUACGAGCCUUCCGCGUCAAGCGACGAAGAGGAGCAGGUCGCCGUAGACGUGCCGGUCAGGCAGCCCGGGCCAGCAACAUGGUGCUCCUGCGGUCACCGCUGCGGCGACAUGCCUACGGAAAAAGAAAGGGUCUGUUGUACAGAGCAGCAAAAGGUGGCAAACGCCGCUGAAACCUACGAAUGCAUCACGAAGCACCCGCUUUUUCAAUUGUAUUGCCUGAAUAGGCACAUACUCGACCUGGAAUACCUCAAGUUGAAGCAUUACUGCCCAUACUACCUUGGACAACGCACCUUGAAUGAGCAAUACCGAUACACUGCCUACCGACAGUUUGUUUGGUGGGUGUACAGGCGACUUGGUCAAGGUAACCGGGUCGUUUUGCCAAGCUGUGCUGUCCACAGAAUCAGGAAAGAGUUCCC